This is a long non-coding RNA of Hordeum vulgare subsp. vulgare (domesticated barley), 355 nucleotides long. RefSeq lists it as uncharacterized. The record is from RefSeq and is a predicted model, not a curated record. The transcript has 2 exons. Lineage: Eukaryota; Viridiplantae; Streptophyta; Magnoliopsida; Poales; Poaceae.
GCUCACGCACCCACCACCCCGUCCCGCUCCUCCCCUCCCCGCAUCUUGAUCGCGAGUCCGCAUGCUGCUAGCAUCGCAGGCUACCAUGCGAUUUUCGUCGCCGUCUCCGUCGUUGUCAAGCUAGCUCGCCGUUCGCCCCAAGUCAUCGGAAGCCCUUGCAGCUCCUAUUGUUGAGCUUUUUCAGAAGCCCGUUGAAGCUUUCUCCUCGCCGGUUGCGGCUGUUUCCGCCGGUCGCCGUUGCUCGCAACUCCAGGGUAUCACCAUUGUAGCUUUUCUAAAACUAUUUUGCUAAAACACAUCUAGAUGUGAGGUAAGUAUUACACAUCUAAGUUCUAUAUCAUUGAUCUUACGUGAA